UAAACCUUACAAGCUUAUAUACGGGAUCUGUCCCUGACAAUGGUGUGCAAGCUCACCUCGUAGUGAGAAGCCUAAAGUUGUUAUAUGGAAACCCACCUAGCAGAAAGAGGUUUA
RNAcentral lists this small RNA (114 nucleotides) under Bdellovibrio sp. qaytius. RNAcentral describes it as "6S RNA". It matches the Rfam family "6S / SsrS RNA", at positions 37 to 150 of the family's 187-position model. From Rfam's summary of the family: E. coli 6S RNA was the first non coding RNA to be sequenced, but its function was unknown until recently. Lineage: Bacteria; Pseudomonadati; Bdellovibrionota; Bdellovibrionia; Bdellovibrionales; Pseudobdellovibrionaceae. The record is from RNAcentral.